RNAcentral lists this long non-coding RNA (211 nucleotides) under Lathyrus oleraceus (garden pea). RNAcentral describes it as "Pisum sativum (pea) long non-coding RNA (PSAT_LNC029892)". The record is from RNAcentral. Lineage: Eukaryota; Viridiplantae; Streptophyta; Magnoliopsida; Fabales; Fabaceae.
UCUAAUGAGUCUUAUGGGUUUUAAUCCUAAAUAAAAUAAAUAAAUAAAACAAAUAAAACAUAAAUUGCUAAAAUUUCAGAAAAAUAGUAAAAUGUUGUUUUCAGAAGUUAAACGAGCUUAAACGGCUUAAAAACGAAUACUCGCUGUAAGACCCCAAUUUUGUCCCUAAGAUCCCUCAUGACAUCAUAUCAUUGCAUUUCAUAGCCUCAAG